AACGAACGCUGGCGGCAUGCCUAACACAUGCAAGUCGAACGAGACCUUCGGGUCUAGUGGCGCACGGGUGCGUAACGCGUGGGAACCUGCCCUUAGGUUCGGAAUAACUCCCCGAAAGGGGUGCUAAUACCGGAUAAUGUCUUCGGACCAAAGAUUUAUCGCCUUUGGAUGGGCCCGCGUUGGAUUAGCUAGUUGGUAGGGUAAAAGCCUACCAAGGCGACGAUCCAUAGCUGGUCUGAGAGGAUGAUCAGCCACACUGGGACUGAGACACGGCCCAGACGCAUAAGGGAGUAAGCAGGGGGGAAUAAAGCACAAUGGGAGCAAUGCUGAUGAAGCGAUGCAGCGUGUAGGAAGAAGGCCUUCGGGUCGGAAAGAAGUGAAAGCGGGGAGGAAGGGAGUAAAGUUAAUACCUCGCCUCAUUGACGUCACCGGCAUAAGAAGAACCGGAUAACGCCGUG
Molecule: ribosomal RNA, 458 nt
Filed under: uncultured bacterium
Lineage: Bacteria
Description: partial 16S ribosomal RNA
Rfam family: Bacterial small subunit ribosomal RNA
Source: RNAcentral